AGAGAGAGACAUGCGCGCAUAUCAAUAAGCGGAGGAAAAGAAACUAACAAGGAUUCCCCUAGUAACGGCGAGUGAAGCGGGAAGAGCUCAAAUUUGAAAUCUUAAAGGGUUUCCCUUUACGAAUUGUAGUUUAAAGAAGUGUUUUCUGUUGAGGUUUUGGUAAAAGUUCUUUGGAAUAGGACAUCAUAGAGGGUGAGAAUCCCGUAUUUGACCUUUACUUUCAACUUUGUGAUACACUUUCAAAGAGUCGGAUUGUUUGGGAAUGCAGUCCAAAAUGGGUGGUAAAUUUCAUCUAAAGCUAAAUAUUGGCGAGAGACCGAUAGCGAACAAGUACCGUGAGGGAAAGAUGAAAAGAACUUUGAAAAGAGAGUUAAACAGUACGUGAAAUUGUCAAAAGGGAAGCGUUUGACACCAGUGUUGUUUUUCUGAAAAUCAAUUAAAGAGCUGUUUAUGCUAAGCUGUUUAGACUUUAUCAGCUAUCUGUUUAGUUUUGAGCUUUUCUUUAAUGCACUUUUCAGUUAACAAGUCAACAUCAAUUUCUUUUGCUGUAAAAAAGCUUGAGGAAGGUGGCUUGAGAUUCGUCUUAAGUGUUUAUAGCCUCUUGCCUAUGCAGUCGGAGAGAUUGAGGUCUGCAGCGUAGAUCCUUCGGGGCUAAAUGCAUUUGUGCUAAGUUAUAGCAUUUUAUAGACAACUUGUUGACUAUGAUUUGUCUUGUAGCUUACUCGCUUAUGUUAUUUUACCUACGCUUAGGAUGUUGAGCGCAUGUCUCUCUCU
RNAcentral lists this ribosomal RNA (774 nucleotides) under uncultured Neocallimastigales. Its description in RNAcentral is "partial large subunit ribosomal RNA". It matches the Rfam family "Eukaryotic large subunit ribosomal RNA", at positions 23 to 616 of the family's 3401-position model. The record is from RNAcentral. Lineage: Eukaryota; Fungi; Neocallimastigomycota; Neocallimastigomycetes; Neocallimastigales.